Molecule: ribosomal RNA, 1058 nt
Filed under: uncultured bacterium
Lineage: Bacteria
Description: bacterial SSU rRNA
Rfam family: Bacterial small subunit ribosomal RNA
Source: RNAcentral
AGAGUUUGAUCCUGGCUCAGGAUGAACGCUGGCGGCGUGCUUGAUCAAUGCGAGUCGUGCGCGUACCCACUGAUGCUUGCAUCGGCGGGAUCACGAGCGGCGUGCGGGUGCGUAACACGUAGACAACCUACCCUGGUGCGGGGGAUAACCUGGGGAAACCUGGGCUAAUACCGCAUGAAGCUGCGAGACGUAUGUUUGGUAGUCGAAGCCUUAGGGUGCACGUGGAGGGGUCUGCGGUCUAUCAGCUCGUUGGUGGGGUAACGGCUCACCAAGGCGAUGACGGAUAGCCGGUCUGAGAGGAUGGUCGGCCACACUGGGACUUAGAGAUGGUCCAGAGCCCUACGGGGUUUAGCAUGAAGGGAUCUUGCGCAAUGGGCGGAAGCCUGACCCAGCGACGUCGCGUGGGGGACGAAGGCCUUCGGGUUGUAAACCCCUUUUCCGAGGGAAGAGAAAGGACGGUACCUCGGGAAUAAGCCCCGGCUAACUACGUGCCAGCAGCCGCGGUAAUACGUAGGGGGCAAGCGUUACCCGGAAUCACUGGGCGUAAAGUGCGCGUAGGCGGUUGGAUAAGUCUCUUGUGAAAGCUCCCGGCUCAACUGGGAGAGGUCAAGGGAUACUAUUUGACUAGAGGACAGCAGAGGUAAGCAGAAUUCCCGGUGUAGCGGUGGAAUGCGUAGAUAUCGGGAGGAACACCAGUGGCGAAAGCGGCUUACUGGGCUGUAUCUGACGCUGAGGCGCGAGAGCGUGGGGAGCAAACUGGAUUAGAUACCCAGGUAGUCCACGCCCUAAACGAUGGAUACUAGGUAUGGGGGGUAUUGACCCCCUCCGUGCCGUAGCUAACGCGUUAAGUAUCCCGCCUGGGGACUACGGCCGCAAGGCUAAAACUCAAAGGAAUUGACGGGGGCCCGCACAAGCGGUGGAGCGUGUGGUUUAAUUCGAUGCUAAGCGAAGUACCUUACCUGGGCUUGACAUGUUGGUAGUAGGAACCCGAAAGGGUAACGACCUCGGGGUAACUCGGGGAGCCUUCACAGGUGCUGCAUGGCUGUCGUCAGCUCGUG